CGCAGGUGAUGAACUCACUGACGGGCGGACAGAGUCCUUGUGCUGAUCGUCAGGUUCUGAUGGG
Small nucleolar RNA from Oryctolagus cuniculus (rabbit), 64 nucleotides. Ensembl annotates it as small nucleolar RNA, C/D box 43. Its record names the gene SNORD43. The record is from Ensembl. NCBI's taxonomy places the organism in Eukaryota, Metazoa, Chordata, Mammalia, Lagomorpha, Leporidae.